Non-coding RNA from Physcomitrium patens, 2001 nucleotides. Lineage: Eukaryota; Viridiplantae; Streptophyta; Bryopsida; Funariales; Funariaceae. The record is from RefSeq and is a predicted model, not a curated record.
UCAUGAGCACACAGAUAACAACAAUGACUUCUUGCAUCACACAAUGCAUCCAUUUCUACACAUUUUUUUCUUCAUAAUAAAAAUUUAACAACCAACUAAAUUAUUCAUUCUAUUACUUUGCUUUUAAUUAACUGGCCAUGAUUACACUUCAUUAAAAACAUCAUAUUCAAGUUGAAGAAUUCAGACCACAAAUUACUUCGCUUAAGCGAUUAUUUUGAAACACAAUUCGGGAUAUAAAACACACAACUUUAUCAUUUACAGCGCAUGUAAUUUUGGUGGGUAAAAUCAUGAUACAGUAUGCAAAUGGUAUUUCAUGUAAACAACAAACCUACCACGAAGCAAAAUGAAGGAUAUGAAGGUCAGGUAUACUAAACAUGGCCAAAUGGUAAGAAAUUCAGAGGUUUGAAUCAUUAGGGCUUGGAGUUCAACAUGGUGAGUCCAAGCCCUAACCCAAAUUUGAGGGAAGCUCCCCUGCUUGACAUUGCAAUAGCCUCGACAGCUCUUUCUGAGGCAGCUUCAUUUGCGAGGUCCUCUUCAUUCGAUGCAUGGCAUGAGGUCUUCAUGCGUCUGUUCUUUUUAAGUUUUGAGUCGUGGAAAUCGUGUGCGGAAACAAUGAUGGCUCUUACAUCGACGUUUCAUCCUAGGUCACAUAGAUUUUUUUUUUUUUUUGUUUGGUUUUGUGGCCUGCAUUCGAGACUAAUUCGUGGUGACUUUUCCAGAGCACGAACAACUUGUGAUUGCUUGCGCUUCUUACUCCGCGUCCUCCCCUGGGCGUAGUACUUAAUUAUUGAAGUGUUCACGUUGGGAUGCGUUCGUUGAGAUUUAGAGCUUUGCUUUCUGCUGAUAGGAUAAAACUGUUCUUCAGUAGUCUUUUUGUGACCUCACUGAUUGCGCACUUCAGGAAACCUCGUAUUAGAGGGUUGUUUGUUAGUGCGCUUAUUAGUGUGUGUAGCGUUUCACUGACCAUCCGUAGUUGCCUGCUUACUACCUUGACAAUAUCAUCUGAGCUCCAUUUCGAUAGUCUUAUUUGCUUGCUUCCCGCCUCAACCAUGAUUCCCUAAGUUUCUGUCUUUGACGAAUCCAGUCAUAGUGGCACAGAAUGAAGUUAAUUGAGAAAACGUGGGUUCAAAACUUUCUCGGUAGUCUUUAUCCCAAAGUGCUCUCACGACAUUCUUACAAUACUUCUCCCUUACCAUACAAUGUGCCGAGUAUCUUGUAUACAACCUUUGUGUUCGAAGUGCCUGAUUGCACUGCUCACUUGAUCGUCGCCUGACGACGGGCCCCAUGGCAGGACAUUAGACCAGCAUUUUGGGAUUCUCUUGAUAAUGGUCUUAACCUACUUGCUUCAUGUCUCCCACCUACCUCAUGAUUUUAAUCUCUGUAUGCAGCCGUGUGUGCGAUAAUUCAUGUGGAAUGAUCAGCAAAUACGGCAUCAACACUUGUCCUCAUCAUCUAAGCACCUUCAAUUCAUUCAGUGAAUGAGCAUGCGGGUUCGAUUUACAGGAUCUUGCGCUGUUAUUACUAAUGCAAUGUGCAACAUCACCAAUGUGGCUUUUUGCAGCGUGAAGCCCGUAUAAGUUUGUUUCAACGUGUGCAGAUUAUAAACGAAACAUUCCAGAGCUAGAAGAGGAACGAUAACAGGGUCCAUUCAUCAACACUUUUGAGCUGUUCAGGAUCAGAAUAUUUAAACUGUAACCACCACUCUUCUUUUUUCAAAUAGACGCGAAAGCUACUGUUUUAUUUUUCUCUUUCUUAUGAACACACUCACAGUCCAUUUAUUAAUUGACCAAAUGCUUUCGUUAAACUUCCUUCAACAUAUAUCAUAAACUAUGUACCAUAUGAAAGCAAUACACACAGAAAAUUACAGUCACGUGCAUAAAUUUUUAUGUCUCGGUUUGAUUUUUUCUUCGCUGCUCAUCAGUAGAUUAUCUACAAAUUUAAUGUAUUUUUUUUUACACCUAUUCAAUCUGAAUUGCAGUCAAGGAAAAUACUGCAUUCCCA